GGCUAAGUCUGCUUUCGGUUGUACAAAGAGCAUCAAUGUAUCAUCAUAAAAUCUUCUUGAGGAAGCCCUGGUGAUUAGAUUAUUAUUAGUACCUCUCAGUUCUCACCACCAGUUGAAGAAAUCUGCUCGAUUUAUUGGUAAGUAUAUUUCAAUUUCUCUUCUAUUUCACACACACUUGAUAUGUGCGCCUUUUAGAGUAUUUCAAUACGUAAUAGUUUUUCAAUUGAAAUGUGCUGGAAAUGCCACUAAAAUCAUGGCCAUUACAAUAAAAUUCCUGGAGACAGCAUUGUAUAGGAUUUCUAGAUUUCCUCUUUUUGUUGAACUACACAGUUUCUCGUUUUUCUUUAGUCUCCCAGUUAUGUUAUCCUUUUUAUUAUUUAUUAUUAUUUUUUUAUAUUUUAAGAAGUCAGGAAAAAAAAAAGAAAAAAAAAAAGACACUGCAUUUGCUUUCAACGAAGUAGAUGAAAGAUUGUCAUUUUCGUUGUUGUCUCCGUACAUUUGCUUUCUUGUUUCGCAUCUUUUGUCUUUCCCUCUCCUCCAUUCUUCUUUCCUCAAGAAUGCUUCAGUGCUGUUUCCUACAAUGAAAGUUGGAAAUUGUAAUUUCAAUAGAUAGGUUAAACGUUGUAUAAAAGAAGCACUUGCAUUGAUAAUUAUUAUUUCAUGACCAAACUGCAGUUACCAUUCAGCCAUAUGGGAAAGACAAUUCAGGUAUCUGGCUUCCCUUCUCUUGUUGCUGCCGAAACCAUUAAGACAUUCUUGGAGCGAUACACGGGUCCAGGAUCAGUAGUUGCCUUAGAUGUAAAUCAGUGCAAAGGAAAGCAUGGAAGAGCAUAUGCCAAAGUUCAAUUUGAGAAUAGCUCACACGCUGAUAAAAUUUUCAGUUUGGCAAGAGCACACCACCUAUAUUAUGAUACUUCUUAUUUGAAGGCUUGGGAGGAUAUUGACAUGAUGAAAAGUCCUAGGACGUACAUGCAUGGAAUGGAACGUGUAACUUUAAAUUUUGGAUGUCAGAUAUCGAGGGAGAAGUUUUCUGUGCUGUGGAAACGUUCAUAUACUUCCGUUAAAUAUGGGAUUGGUCUGAAGAAAAUGUUCUUCUUUUUCUCCUAUUAUUCUGUUCAAUACAAGCUUCAACUCUCGUACGAGAACAUAUGGCGGAUUGUUCUAUAUUGUCCACGAGGUCGAACUGCAAAGCUUCUCCUAAUACAGGUUUGUUUAUUGACUUUUAACAUCUCAAUGAUCCAUGUUUUUAUUUAUUUAUUUUUCCAUAUAUAAUGGUAUUCUUUUAGCAUAUUCGGUAAACAAUAAGCUUGACUAACAUGUUUAUGUGGAUAAUUGAAGCCAUGAUCUCAAACAUUUUAAGUCCUUGCAGGUUUUACUUUAACUUUCAUUUGUUGCACCUGUGCUUCCAAAACUUUCGAGUACUUGCGGUCGGAGAGUUUCCAUCAAUUUUUCAUUUGUUGACUAGAAAAUUAAGUCUCACCGCAUUUUAAAAUAAUUUUAAAAUGGUAAAAUAAUGACUUCCUAUUUAUAACAUUAAACAAUUAAAAUAAAUAAAUAACAAAAAAUUUAAAAUUUAAAAGAAAAGAAGAGGUUAUCUUCUUUAGCUACUCUAUCCACCCCCACCCUCGCCCAAAACCACAAAUCACCCCACCCGUUUCUCAGGAUUUAUCAAGUCUUGAAGAAAAUAUAACACAUAAGCAUUAGUGAUAUCUUCCAAAAUUUGAGAACACAAAGGGUAUGAAUAUGAUUGAAAGAAAAUUGGAUUGUUAUGUGGAAUUAAAGUUAAUUACAAUUGUUUUUCAAGUGUUUUGUAAUGAAUGUAAAUCACUUACAAAUUUAGAUUCCAUAAUCGAGUGUGUUAUACAUGUCUAUUUCUUUGAUUUCUAGGAAACAACUCAUCCUCUAAUUGUAAACACCCAACCUGAUGUAGAUUUACUUUUUCCCGUGCUAGAUAUCCAAUUAGUAUCUGUAAAUCCUUCUAAUGUAGCCGGGAAUCUAGUAUAUUAUAGACAUAAGUUUUUGAUUUCUUUAAGUAUCUAAGAACUCUUCCAACGACCUUUUAAUGUUCAUUGCUUGGAUUACUAUUAAACCUACUAAGUUUACUAAUUGCAUAUGCUAUAUUUGGUCUUGUGCAUUGAAUUGUAUAUAUUAGACCCCAUAUAACACUUGCAUGCUUUAAUUGAGCAACUGUCCUUCCAUCAUUCUUUAUAAGUUUUGAACUUUGAUCAAUAAGGAUACUAGAUUAUUUUAUGUUCAAAUGCUUGAACUUUUUUAUCACAUUCUCGAUAUAAUGUUAUUGACUUAAUUAUAACCCCCACUAAUUUUAGUAAUUCUGAUACUCAAAAUGGUAUCCACUUGUCCAAGAUCCUUUAUCUUGAAUGUGGAAGAUAAAAACCUCUUCAUAUCUUUUAUUUCAUUCAUGUGAUUAUUUAUAAUCAACAUACAAACAAAUAAAUAUCACAUAACCAUUGCAUAAGUUAGAAUACAAACAUUUAUCUAUAUUAUUAUGUUUAAAACCAAAUGAUAUGAUAGUUAAGUUAAAUUUUUCAUGCCACUUUUUAGGUGCUUGCUUCAAACCAUAUAAAGACUUUACCAACUUGCACACCUUGGCUUCAUUUUUUAGUAGGGUAAACCAUUUGGGUUGUUCCAUAUAAACCUCCUCAUCGAGAUCACCAUUAAGAAUGUCGUUUUAACAUCCAUUUGAUGAACAUGCAAGUCAUGUAUCAUAGCCAAUCCGAAUAAUAUCCUAAAUGAUGUUAUUCUAGCUACCGGUGUAUAAGUAUCAAAAUAGUGUAUUCCUUCAUUUUGUCGAUAACCUUUAACUACUAGUCUAGUCUUAAAGGUAUUAAGAGAACAAUCAACAUUAUACUUUCUCUUAAACUCCCAUUUAUAUCCAAUAGGUUUGGAUCUAGGUGGUAACUCGACAAGUUUCUAUAGCCUCUCUAUAAGUUUUAGGACUGGUGUCUACUUGUAGAACAAAAUGAAUUAUUCUUGCAACAUUUUUCUCACUUCCAUCUACUAAGUAGAAGGAAAUAUGUUUAGAGUCAAUUUCCAGUUCUAAAGACUUUUCAAUUAAAGUUCUUUUGUUUCUUCGAGGUUCGCUAGAUUCAUUAACAUAUUUAAGUGCUUGUUUGUGUCUCAUUAUUUGUGUGUAAUGUAUUAUGGAAUAGUGAUUAAUGUUGAAAUGUGUGGUUAAAAAAGAAAGGAAAGUUUUUUAUUUACGUGUAAUAUUAUUUUAAUGAAGAACGUGUGAUUGAAAAUGAGUACUGUAGAAAAAUAAUGUGGUAAAAUGUGGAAGAAAGGAAGACAAACAAAGCCUAAAAGAUGUUUCAUCUUGUGUUCCACCGGAACUUGGAAUUUUCUUAUGAAGUUCUCUUAAUUUAUUAUUAGGAGAUAGUGAAUUUUGAAAGAACUCUACGUCACUGGAUUCAAUAAUCACAUUGGUCUCCAAAUUUAACAAUCGAUAUGAUAUGUUAUUACUUGCAUAUCCAACAAAGACAUGUUUAAUGUCUCUUGGACCUAACUUGAUUUCGUUCAGGUUUGUAUUCUUAAAAUAACAAGACCUCAUACUUUGAAGUAUCCAAUAUUAGGUUUUCUUCUUUUUCAUAAUUCGUAAGGAGAAGCCUUUGUAAUUUUAGAAGGAAUUUUAUUUUGUAUUCUAUAUGCACUUAACAAUGCUUUACCCUAUAGGUUAAAUGGCAACUUAGCAUAAUUUAACAUGGCAUUUAUCGUUUAAACUAAAGUUCUAUUUUUCCUUCAACUAAAUCAUUUUGGUUGGGUGUCCUAAGUGCAGAAUAUUGAUGAAUAAAUAUCUUGUUGUUCACAAAAUAAGUUAAAAUCACUAGAAAAGUAUCACCUUCUCUAUCACUCUUACUUAGAUGAUUUUCAACUUCAUUUUUAUGUACCUUGAACAUGUCAAAUACAUCAUAUUUAUAUUUCAUCAAAUAAACAUAUGUAUAUCUAGAAUAGUCAUCUAUAAAGGUAAUAAAAUACCUAUUGUCAUCUUUAGUCAACAUGCUAUUUAAUUCAAAAUAUCCCUAUCAAUUAUUUCUUACUAGAAGUUCUUUUUACACUUUGAUAUGAUUUCUUAGUCAUUUUGGAUUCUGCACAUUUUUACAUUUAAAUGCAUGAUUCUCAUUAUAUGAUAUUAAAUCACAUCUCAACAUUCUUUUUAUAGUAUUUUUACCUAUGUGACUUAAUCUAGCAUGCAAAAAAUAAAUAAAUCAACAAUAUAAGCAAAAUCAAAUUUAUUAUUAUUCAACUUAUCAACGGUACAUAAUUUGACAAUUCCUUUAUAAGAACAGCCUUUACCAACAAAUUUCUCAUCUAGAGAUAAUACAAGUUUAUCGGAUUCAUAAACACAGAUUAUGCCCGAUUUACAUAAGAGAUUAUCGCUAACCAAAUCCCUAUUCAUGUCGAGAACAUGCAGCACAUUGGACGCGGUAACGAUCUUGCCGAAAGGGAAGAUAAUCUCUAUAUUUCCUUUCCCAACCACUUUGGAUCAAACUUAGUUACCCAUUUGAAUAUCUUGAUCUCUAUCCAAUUCACAUUAUGUUUUGAACAACAAUUUAUCAUAUUUUACGUGUACGGUCGCACUACUAACUAAGAACCUUUCCCUUGAUAGCAUUACUUUCGCUUACAAUGCAUGAUGUUAUCUUUCCUGAUGGAUUCCACUUUUCAUUCGAAGUUGUUUUUUUCGGUGUCUCUUUUCUACUGCAUUUGCCUUGGAAGUGCCUUCAUAAGAAUUAUCAUUCUUAUCUCUCACCCUUAACUUUUCCUCAAUUCAAAGAUGUUUCUACAAUUGUUCCAAGGAGUAAUUUUCGAAACAAUGCAUGAUCUUCUUCCAAUAUCCUUUCCAAAUCCAUGGGAGUUCUAUAAUAAUUGCUCCCACUUGGAAAGUUUUCGAGAUUUCAAUCUUGACUGCCUUUAACUUGUUGACAAGGCCUUGUAACUCGUGUACUUGGGGAAGAAGGGAAUGUUAUCAAGAGACUUAAAAUCAGAAUACUUUAAAAUAAAAAAUUUCUUACUACCUUCUUCUUCGACUUUGUACUUACUUUCCAAAGCAUUCCAUAUUUCUUUCAUCGAAGAUGUGUUGGUGUAGAGAUCAUAUAACCUGUCAAAAAGAGCAUUGAGAAUAUGGCUAUGACAUAUAAAGUUCAUCUUCUUGGCUCUUCUGUCUUUUGACUUUUAUGGCAUCCGUCUCUCCACUUGUUGGUUUUGGUAGCGGUGCCAAUUCUAGAUCAAGUAUGUAAAAUAUCUUCAACCCCAUUAGUAGAAAUUUCAAUUUGUCUCGCAAUUUCGUGAAGUUUGUGCUAUUAAAGUGAUCUAAUUGAACAAGAUCUUGAUUCAUCAAUUCGAUUGUCGCUAUAGUGGUUUCAUUCUCCAUUGUACAAAAAUUUCAUUUGAGAUUGAUGGAAAAUAUGGCUUUUCACAAAGGGGAGAAUGAAGAACAAUCAAAGAAUAAAACCAAAAUAAAAAAUGAAGAUAAAGAAGGUCUAAACAUGUAAUCGUUGUCUUCAAACGAAAUUUGCCCUCUCCAAAUAAAUUUGAUGCUUAUAGGGAUCUUCUCAAAUGGUUUGCAGGAUUUAUCAAGCCUUGAAGAAGAUAUAACUUAUAAGAAUUAGUGAUAUCUUCCAAAACUUAAGAACGCAAAGGGUAUGAAUAUGACUGAAAGAAAAUUGGAUUGUUAUGUGGAAUUAAAGUUUAUCACAAUUGUUUUUCAAGUGUUUUGUAAUGAAUGUCAAUCGCCUAUUUGAAGUAGUGCCAAAAUAGGGUUAAAAGUCACAAAAAUUCAAACAAUAAUUGCCAUGAAUGGCUAGUUUGUAACACUAUGUGCUCACAUAGGCCAAACCUAUGCAACCGCAUAGUUAAUUUCAUGGCAGGGCCUUUAAGCCUCGCAUAUAAGCAUGCGACCGCUGGUCGAAAUGGCCUAUGUGAUCGCAUAGUAAUAUAUUUCGAUUUGAUUUUUGAACAACAUACAACUUACCCCACCCCUUACAUUGAAGUUUUGGGAAUUUUUGGAGCAAGGGCGAUGGUUCUAGAGCGGAGGAUGUGGGUAGAAUGGGUUGAAAGGGUUAGUGUUAAACCAUUGGGAUUUGAUUCAUCUUUGAUGAUUAAGGAAUCUCGUUCUUCAUCUUUUGGAAUUGAUGUAUAAAUUGGUGAAGUUUAAUUUUGUUGGUGGCCAUGGUAGUGGUGAUGGCAGGCAUGGAUGGCUGACACUGGGUGGGUGAUGAUGGUGGUCGGCAGCUGGUGGGUGGCGAUGGUUUAGGUUUUAAGUGCAAGGGAUGGAGGUUAGAUAGAGGAUGGGGAAGGUGAUGAUUUAUUAUUAUUAUUUUUUUUGCUUUUUCUAGAUACUUUAAUUAUUUUAUACCGGGAAAAAUAUAAAAUUAUCAUUUUACCCUAUAAAAUUAAUUAAAAAUGUGAACAAAAUUAAUUUUUGAUCAACUAACAAAAAAUGGAUGAAAAGCCUCUGUUUGUCAUCCAGUCGCAAGCACUUAAAAGGUUUACAACCACUGAUGCAACAAAUGAAAGUUAAGGAAAUAGUUACCAAGAGUUGAAAAGUUUGGGAUCGUAGCCAUAAUUAUCCCCGUGUUUAUAAGAACAUUUCCAAACAUGUUUGGGAUUAAAAAUGCUCUCUCUUUUUCUUUUUAAAAAUAAAAUCACACGAGUGUUAAAAAUAAUCCUAUAUGAAUUGGAAAUAUUGGAGUGGAAGGGAAAGUUAGCAUGAUCGUGAUGCUAGGAUACUACCCUAUAACUUACCUACUAGACAACAAUAAUUAAGACCCCGUUUGAUAGCCAUAAAUUAGAAAAAUGUAUUUUUCCUAUCACAUCUACGUGGGGUUCGUGCAAUAUUUUAUUCUCCAAUUCAAAUUCAAACUUCACAAAAUCUCAAAUUUGCCCUUUAUGUCAUUAUUGGAUUGUUUCUUCAACCCAUUUUGUAUAUUCUGGCAGGCAAGAAUAUUGAGGAGAAGAAAUCAUUUUUCAUGGCACACAUUCCAAGAUACGUCAAAACCAACAAGCAAUAAAUUGGUAAAAGACAACCCAAACUUAAUCCACAUGACACCUUACCCAAUUAUUUUCCAAACAUUACCAUGGUUAUUUCUUUGUUUUGCACUUAGUUUUUUUUAAUCAUUACAAUUACGAGAAAAAGAGUAAAAUUGCACCAGGUGCAUCGAGCAGAUACCAUUAAUAUUAAACACUCGAUGCAUAUAACAAUUGUCGACCACAUUUGGAAUACUUCACAACUAGAUCCCAAUCACGACUGUUGGGCUAGGUAAUUACGCAGUUUGUCCCACUCGCUCCGCUGCAUCUCUGGUGCAUGCAUUUCGGCGUACAUCUCAUCUUCGGCACUAGGUAGCUUCACCUCGGCCUCGUCGUCAUCCUCCUCUGCUCUCCUAAAAUUCUCGUCCACUACUCCAUAUUUUCGUAGCAAAUUAUAUAUCUCCAUCGUGGCAACGCAACAGUAACUUGCAUCAGGUAAGGGUAGCUAGACAUACGGUCUAAGAUUUUUCACCUUUGUUUCUACACCCUGAACGCACGUUCGAUGAUGUUUCUGCAGGAUGAGUGUCUGAAGUUGAACUUCUCACGAGCAUUACGAAAGCAACGACGUAGUCCCGUUUGCUCGUACCGAAACUGUUGGAAGCGAUACAUGAUGUCCAACCUUUAGUACGAUGCUCUAUAUCCAGGUCGAUGCGCAAAUUCGGAGUCCACCAAGUAUUACUUGCCUAGGCCUGCAACAGAAAAUGGAUGUCCGACGAGUAAUAGCACAUGCGAGGAGUCCAGGAUCGUGGGUAUUUUCAGUGUGCCCUGUCAAGACAAAUAUGAAACAUAAAUUGAAAUCGCACGCAGCCGACACAUUCUACGUCGGCUCGCCGUUCUGGCCUAUGAAGUGCAUACGCUCUUGCCGCAGUAGUACUGCUUUGACAUGCAUUUCGUUAAUAGCUCCGAUAUAGUCUGCGAACAGUGAAUGCUUGUUCAAAUCAGGCUUGUGAGGGUCCAAACCUUCAUUGUAGUUCGGAUUCGAUCGAAUCAUACGUACAGACAGCGUAACCACCGCACAUAGAAUCUCUUUAACGUAGUGACACACGGUUCCUAACGAACGGUUGAACAACAUUGUCACUUGCCGAUAUCCCUUUCCGUGAGCGAGUAUGCACAAAAAUAUGCCAACUUGUUCGUAGAUGUCAACCUGUUGACUUCUUCGCAGGUCAUGCUCGUCGAGCAAUACAUGUGCGAAAUGUCGCAGCAUUGGGGGAUACAUAUGAAAUUCUUGAAAGCACAUUUGGCCAUUCUCGCUCAUUGCCUCCAUCAUGAACGUGUGACCAUUUUUUGUGAAUGAAAAUCAAUGGACACGACGAUGCUAUCGCUAAAAGUAUUGAUGUGCUUCGCUCUUCACGAUUCUGUAAUACGUAACCCAUGCCAUUGCAUCGGCUGCCAACUAGUUCAGGAAUUUCCAUUUGUCCAUAUCUUCAUUGUCGUCGGAUCUCGGUAGUAGAAUGCAGUUUAAGUUAAGACCAUCUGUGUUACCAAACAUUUGGACUGUUUAGAAUAUGACGACCUCUGUUUGUUAAAAGUCGACAAAUAAUUCUUAAACGUCACAGCCUCACAACGCUCACACUUAUGCUCCCUGCCUUUCUUCAUAGGAAUUUAUGUAGCUUCGACAUGCAUGGAUACCACAGUACAUGCACUUAUUCUCUGGUGCUUGCAAGCUUUGAAAUCUGUGGCCUCACAUAGGCUGUCUUUCACUAAAACUUUUUUUUUUUGAAAGUGACGUGAUAACUUGAGGAACUUUGAAAAAAUGUGAACGUGACAAACUUGUCCUCCUCAUUAUGUUCGGGCCUACGAUUGCCUAUAACUGAGCAUGAAAAUGUUGUACGCUAUACAGACAAUAAUUGAGUACAAUACGUGAGAACGUUUAUAAUAGCAUAGGAAAAAGUAAAACACAUAAAUUACAACUCUGAGACGAUAGUGCAGAAAAAAGAAGACAGUUUUCACCUUGAUUUUUAACAAAAGAAAAAAAGGGCAACUGGCAUAAUUACUUCCCUCGAUCGUUAAACAUCCACUCGAUCCACUCAGAUUUCUCAUCUGCGUCCCUCAUGAAAUUGAGCAUGUCCUGAUAAUGCUUCUGUACAAGAAGUGUGCAGGCAAAAAGGUACAUGGGAGUUCGCCGCUCGAGUUGUCCUGUCGCCAUCAGCUCUUCAACACAGGCAGUGCUAGCGCUUUCACUUGUGGCCAUCAUCAUUUUAAUCUUCAUUGCCACUUCCUUCACGGCACUCAUGGCACGGUCAAUUGAGAAACAAAGUUCACGGGCAGACAUUUUUUUCUUUCGACCACAUUGCUGUUCGUCAAAAGAUUUUCAUUUACUGUUGCUUGUUGUGGUGGAAAUGUUCGUGCGUACCCCGACAUGUAUUGGUUUGCCCUCAUCGCUUGAACCACUACUCUCGACGUCGACCGGGAUAGCGUCCCUAUUAUCUUCUAGCGCACUGUCUUCGUACAGGCUGAAUCCCAUUCUGCAUAAUUUAGUGGGAGUGAUUGGCGUACUUGUCUUCGUCGUAGCUAUUUUCAAAUAGCUGACGAUAGCUAAUGUAGAUCUCAUUCACGUCCUUGUCCUUGAAGUCUUCGUACUCCUUAUUCUCCUGCAAAACACGGGUUGAGGGGUUAGAGUAUCAGUAUGCAUUGGAAUUUGAAAUGCGUAAAUACAGAUAAAAAUGCAAGAUACGAGAAUACGCAACAAAAUAUGAGUGAUACACUCGGUGCCACACUUGUGCUUCAACAGGAGAAUUGAAACAAGCUUACCGAGCUCCAAACAAAUUUGACAAAUUUUUCGUUUGCAUUUCCAUAUUUUCGAAAAUUAGUGUGUAGGUUGAUGCAUAAUAUCAUAUUCGACUGGUCAAUAAAUAACAAAGACUAUUCUCAUUAUGUUUAAGCUUAUACAGUAUUGAAUAACGAAUUUUCACCAAAUUGCUCAGACAUGGACACGAAAACCACAUUAUCGGCCAUUUUCCUAAAAAAAUUGAUGAUAGCAAUUGUAUGAAAUCCAUAAUUGAUAACAGCAAUCGAAAAAAUUAUUAUAUAACAAUGACGUUAUUCAAUUUGAUCACAUUGGCUGCGUGUCACAUUCCAACGCAUCAAGCAUACAAUCGAAAAGUGUAUGAAGUCCAUGUUCUGUGAGGAAGGAAAAAGCCACUAAUUAAGAGAUACCAAUUACCAACCCAUUACCAUUUUGUAGUGUAUUCCAUUCGAAAGUUGAAAACAAUACAUCAUCUAUGCACAUUUAUUGGUAAUUAUUCAUUACAGUAGCUAAUUGCUCAAUUCGUCUUGAUCGAUUCUAGGUGGUUCCAGUUAAUGAAGGAAAACGGUAAAUUUUGUUGUUCGCAGCAGUUUGGUAGUAAAGUGAAAUGGCUGAAUUUAAAUAGUUCUUCAUGAAUUGGAGGAUAGGCCGAAACAGCGAAGGUGUGAGACGUUACCUUAAGCUUUUGGCUCCACCAUUCGUCCGACGCGACAAUGCGAUCGGUGGCUGCAUCGUACUCCACCCACCAUUAUUCACGAGCUUCGACAGUCAUUUGUGGGUUCGACGCUUUCCGUCCCAAUUGUUUCACAAUUGUGGUUGGUGACGGAGUUGAAGAGGGCGAACACGCAUUCCCAGUCGUGUUUGGUGAAACACUGGCCAUUCGGUGUCCCUUAGCUAUGGUAGUUUCAUAGGUAGCCAUGAAGGCUCGCAUUAAGUCCAUGCUCAAGCACUCGUAUGUUUUUUAGCCAUAUCUCCUUGCAGUUUCAGUAGUAGCGAUGGAUGAGUGUCCUUGACCGGUGCUCGGCUACAAAGUAUUAGAUUUUGUUAGCAUUGACGAAAAUUCAAUUGGAAGUAUGAAAAAUAAGGGGAACGAAGUGGGUAUACUUGUAUUCCGACGGGAUCCAUUUUCGAUUGGUGGAAAAGAUCGGUGUUGAGAUCUUGUGUAGGCGAGAGAUUCGGUAGAAGAGGUCGACGUUGAGGCCCUGUUUCCGUAAUUAUCGUUGCGACGAGUCACAAAUGUUGACGUCGAGGCCUGUGUAAAGCAGAAUUCGCUGCUGGUGAAGCCACGCGUUUCAGCCGAAAUGAGAGAGAGAGAGUGCUGUCGGUCGGAGGGACGAUUGGAGGAAAGUGGAAAUGGUAGGGGAGAGAGAGAUUUCUGUCGAUGGGAGAGGAAAUUGAAAAUGGUAGGUGCAUGUACACCAUCACAUGCGUUGUCAGAUAUGAGGCUGAAAAUGAUCGAAAAAUGAAUUCCAGGGGACAUUUAAUGGCUACCAAACGGCCCCUAAAUGUGUCCUAGUACUAAUGCAAUUGUAAAUCGCUACAUGCAAUGCAAUAUCUAAAGCAUAAUAAAUAAAAGGGUAAUAAAAUUGGGUUGCCUCCCAAUUAGCGCUCAUUUAUAGUUCUACCCCGACUUUGCAACAAUGUUAUAGAAUUUUGAAAAAAAAAACUUUUGAUUCCUUAGUUUGUUUUAGUUGACUUUGCUUCACUUUUCGUUUGUUCUCCAACCCUCCACCUUGACCUUUUUAUAGGAUCUAACUCACUACUUCAGCCUAAUUCAAACUUAACUAUGAAGACAUAUACCACGUCAUUGGAUUUAAUAAAAAAAAUCAAUUGUUGGGCAAUCAAUGAAGUCAUAAGAAUGUGACUUAAAUUCUAUCUUUAUUAAUUGUUGCUUUAUUGUUAGAUUCCUUUGUGGUUAAUUUGUAUGCUUUUCUUUAAUAGUUGAUAUCUCCUUGGUUGAAUGAUCAGCCCUCAAUCCAAUUAUUCUGGCAAUAACAAGUCAUUCUCAUCAACUUUUGCAAAUGUAUUAUUGUACUACUUUUAAAAUUCAUCCUAGAAGGGACAAUAUCCUAAAAUCAUGCUAUCAUUCAACUUGGCAAGUUUAUUAUAGUAUUUUGCAAUUCUUUGCUCACCCAAACACGUUCUCUAUCAACUUUUUAAAUUUUAGUAGGUAGAUAGCAUCAGGUAUGUCAUCUUCAUCCAACCUAACAAGUGCUUGUCUUCGACUUCUUAAAUAUUGUCUAAACCAACGAAAUUUUGACAAGUCAAAAUAAGUGCCCCAAUACAUGCACUGCCUAAUAUAUUCGUUACAAGUUAUAUCUCCUACGAGCAUGUCAUCUUCAUCAGAUUUGGCACGUCUUCAUUCUCGAUGUUUUAAAUAGAAGAUGCUGGACAAGUUUCCACAAUUAAUUUGGUCCAUAAAAAAUACACAAUUCUCAGUAAUAUGUAAUCCCACAAUUUUCACAGGUUGAAUUCAUUCGGAUCACGUGUACACCCUGUAUAUUGAGACAAUUUCCUAUAAGCAUGUCUUUGUCUUCCAUGACGAGAUUAACCACCGAAAAAGUUUACUACUUUUUGUUUCUCUCCGUUCCAUGUCAAUGAACCAAGAAAAACAAUUAAAGCAACUAAAAACAGAAAAGAAAAAUUCAACUAAAUCAAUAAUGAACUAAAAACUAACUUAAUUUUUGGCACAACGCUAAAAACUUAUUCGAUAAAAAUGUUUAUGUGUACGGUUGUUGACAAUAAUAGUUUAGGGAGUAAAAGUAUCGUUCUACGAUGAAUAAGCCUUAAAUUGAAGUGUACUAAUUUGCUAUUGAACUCGAAUGUAAUCGUAACAGAAUGUUCUUUGAGUCUUGUUUAUUUAUUACUAGAUUAUCUAAAGUUGUAUAAAAACUAUAUUGAAGAAGGAUGAGUUGAGACUUUGAAUCCAACUAUUGUUCUCCCAUUUUGACUCCCAACCUAUAUUAUUUAGUAUAAUUUAUGUAUCAUUUCUACCAGUAAUCCAAUAUUAUCCAACUACUCCUCUCAAGGUAAGCAAAACAUAUUAUUAAGUAAAAUCCAUUUAUAUCUGUCGCGGAAAUCCCUCAAGAAAUCUUAAUCCAGGCUCAAUUUCAUCAAUCAAAUGAACACCAACUAAGCAUUACUCGACUCACAACUCCCACUUGAUUGCCACAAGUCUUUACCCCACAAAGGAAACACUUAGUGAUUGGUUUGCAAGCCACAAAAGAAGAGAAAUAGAGUAGCAAUUGGAACCUCAAGGAAAAAGAACCAAGCCGGCCAUGAAACUCACGUUUUUUCUUUCUUUCUUACAAAAUCAACACACAAGAAAAUGGCUAGGGAUGAGUGUAUAUAUAAUGGGUUAGUUUAUCCUAAACAAUGGGCCAAAGGGUAAUUGGACCAACAAUCCAAAUAACCAAUAGAUCAUCUCAAUGUAAAGCCACAACUUAGGCCAUCCAAAAGUAUUGGGCCACGAGCAACAUUAACUCAAUUAAGUUGCUUCAAAUGGCCCCAAGUUGUCUUUGGUUGAGUUAUCACUAAGGUGUCGAUAUAACUUAUCCAACAUCGGUUUAACAUCAUAGCCCGGAUUUAGUGGGUAUCAAAAUUCAACAAAUCUCUACCUUGAUGCCAAUAAAUCUGUAAGCAAUUAAAACACAAAAUUUAUACUUACAUAAUCAAGAUUAUCAAUAAAAUUGGAUCAUAGAUCUUACCUCGCCUUUCCAACCCGAAACACAUACCAUAUCUGCUCCAUGUACUCACUGGGGCUAAGAUCAAUAACACCCAAGUAGAAGCAGAUAUUCAUAGUAAACAAUCAAGAUCAAAUAAACAUUCAAUGACAAUAUAUAUUAUAGGAUAACAUACAGAUCUUUUUAGAAACACGUUCACACAGAAUCACAGAUUAACACCAAGUUAAUCAAACACAAAGUCAAACACACAUGUGCAACAAAUGCAUAAAUGACCAACAAAAAUAUCUCACCACACUUAUCCUAUUUCAUUUCUUAUUGCUCACACCUCAAGAACACAUUUCUCCUAUCAUCGCCCACUAUGCUCACUAGACUGAUCACUCAACUCAUGUCCAACUGGUAAAUUAUAAUAGAUCCUAAGUUUUCGGGAUAAUCCUUUAUCAUCACAUCACUUCUCCCAACCUACGGGGAUAAUAGGUUUUCAUUUAACCGAAGUAAUAGAAGUGCAUUUUCCAUACUCCACCUGUACAGGGUCUCUUCAUAGAUAAAAGAUUUUAACAUUUAAUUACAUUUCCACUCAUGAUUCAAAGGUCACACUCCACAUUCCCCAUGCAUAUCACCAAUGCACCUUCAAGCAUCUAUACUCCACCUUACCAAUGGACACUCAACACACUACUAAUGCACCUCAAUCCCCCUAUGGAAAAUCAAUACCUUUCGGCGACCACAAAGGUAAAGGCUCAAUUUAAAGUUGACCCACGUACCACGAGUUUACUACAAUCACCAAUGACAAAAAAUUCACAAAGAAAAUGGCGAAGGUGACACUCAUAAAGAGAAUAGAGGAAAGGGUUGGUUACUUCACUAUACUCACAAAAAAGAAAGAAGAUAACCCUACCUGACUACCUCACACAAUCUCACAAACCACACAGGCUCACAAAGAUGAAGGAGAAAAUGGUUGUCCAUCUUUCUUCCCACUACGACACUCUCACACCACUCAUAGAGCAAAUGGAGUACGCGAUAAACUCAACCCACUAUGCAUGCAAAUAUAUUAUACAAAGUAAUAAGAUCACUCUAAUUCAUGCAAUUAGACACAUCAAACAUAUUAAAUAUAUUGAAUAUCAACAUUGCAAUAAAAUUAAGUGAUCACACACAUGCACAUGCAGUAACUAGGUUUACUCUCAAUAAACCUCACUAAGGUCACCACUCGACCCUAUAGCCAAUUCGCUUCACCUCUCUCAUUAUCUUUCCUUCUAUUAUCAUUUUUAGUACGGUCUAUUUCACUCUAUCUAAAUUUACUACAGUUAAAAUACAUUUUACUUUUUGCACUUGUCUUAAAUGUACACGUGCCAUCAAAAAAUGACCACAAGCAAAGUACAAACAUAAUUCACAUACGAUGAUCAAAUAAACUUUCCUAAGGUCACAUGCAAUUCUAACAGUAUAAAAAAAUUGGUAACAAAUUCACAAAGAAUUUAAGGUAAAUAAUUACUAGGUAUAACAACAGGCAUUAAUUACCCAUCCACGGUAUCCCCAAACCUAACGUCACCCCACACAAUGACUUCUAUGCGAAAAAUAAAUUAUUACCAUAAACAAUUGUUUUAACUGAAAUAAUAAAAGGCAAAGAACACGAUACUGAGUGGAUCACGUCUAAAGGUCUGUAAAUAUCGAGAGACGCGAAUUCACCACUUUAGGAUCGUCAUUAUUCGCCCUAAAGCUUCCAGCAAUCGCAGCAACACAAAAAAUAGCAUUCGGCACCCGAACAACCAAGGGCAAAAUCGUCCAACUUUUACCACAUUACCUAAAAUCGAAGUCCUACAAUAGCGUAGGGUCUACCACGUCACCUAGAGAAAACUGUCUGAAGAAGCCAUUGGCCAACUCUCCUCCACUCGCUCACACGCACCUAGCCGGAAUCCCCAUGCGCUGGUGUCGGAGGUCAUGCGCCACUCCUUCUAAAUCUUCUUGGUCUACACAUCACGCCAGUGGUCACCAUUCCUUAAAUCGAUCCAUGGUUUAGAUGAAAAACGUAAAAACAUGUCCAAAUUUUUAACAAUUUUUUCUGUCCAUAAUUCAGCCAAAUUUCAAGUCAAUUCCAACCAUUUUUGGUUGAAAAAAUCACAGAUUUCUCAACAACAUAAGUUUUGAUACCAUUUGUUGCAAAAAUUCCUCGAGAAAUCUUGAUCCGGACUCAGUUUCAUCAACUAAACGAACACCAAUCGAGCUUUACUCGACAUACAACUCCCACUUAGUUGCCACAAGUCUUCACCCCACAAAGGAGACACUUGGUGAUUGGUUUGCAAGCCACAAAGGAAGAGAAAUAGAGUAGCAAUUAGAACCUCAAGGAAGAAGAACCAAGUCGGCAAAGAAACUCACGUUUUUUUCUUUCUUUUUUACAAAACCAACACACAAGAAAAUGACUAGGGAUGAGUGUAUAUAUAAUGGGUUAGUUUAGGUUAACCAAUGCGGCAAAGGGUAAUUGGGGCCAACAAUCUAAAUAACCAAUAUAACAUCCAAAUGUAAAGUCACAACUUGGGCCAUCCAAAAGUGUUGGGCCACGAGCAACAUUAACUUAAUUAAGUUGCUUCAAAUGGUCCUAAGUUGUUGUCGGGUCAAGCUAUCACUAAGGUGUCGAUAUAACUUAUCCAACAUCGGUUUAACAUCAUCGUCCAGAUUUAUUGGGUAUCAAAACCCAACAAUAUCCCUAUCCUGAAUUUAUAGGCAAAGUAAUGCAUUCAUCUACACAAUUAGAGUUGUGAUUGCUCAAGUCACAAACUAUUAAUCCUAAAGUUUAUUGAACCUUAUAUUGAUAUCACAAUAUUCUAAACUUAAUCGAACCUCCUAGAAUUAAAAUAAGCAACUGGUUAUGUAAAUGGUGAUCUAGCAUUUCAAAUAAUUCAACAAGUAUACAAUAUCGAUCAACAAUAUAAAUUAACUAAGUAAGCGGACCUUGAAUUAAAAUAGUAAAAUAAUAAGCUUAAUCUUCAUCCCAGCACAAGAUUGUUUAGUCUAACAACUCUAUAAUAAAAAUAUAACAAAAGAAUUGAAAAUUUACCACCCGAAAUGUAUAGAACACAAGAAAUAAAUGUGAAACCAAUUCUUGCUUUGUCAUCAAUUUCAGCCUUGAAUAAUCAAUCUCUUGAUAUUAUUUGUCUUCAGUCCUUUGCUAGCCUUGCUCUCCAUGAUAUAUUGUGAAAAAUCUCAAAAUUGGAGGCUCAAAGUAGGUUUUACGAUUGGGCAAAUUGAUUUCCAAAAGACGGAUAAACUGAAAAGGAAACAAAAUCUUUUGCCCAAUUUUGUACCAUGCGGGUACACAGGGCUAGGAUAUUUCAACCUUCCAACUGCAACAUAUCUGCGCCAUACGAUUGGAGGGCACAACAUAUUUGUCUAUGUUUGCAGUUUGGUCCUUGACUUCAAUUUUGUAUCCAGCUUAUGUCCUUUAUAAUUGCAAAUAAGUUCCUUCAUCUUCUAAAUUGUAUUACAUCGAUCCUUAGUCUCAGAAUAAUACACCAAAUACAUCCUUUUUGCCCCAUUUUCAUUCUUUUUCUCCAAAAAGCUCGUCCAACGUUAAGUUUUACCUAAAUUGACAGUAUUUAAACGAGAUCACGCAAUAAUUCUCUAAAAUCACUCCCAAAUAUUCAUGCAAUGGCCUAUCACCCACCAAACAUACUCAUCUGUCGAUUAGAUUUAAUUUAGAUUUGUUGACAUGAUCCGCUGGUUUGGUUUCUUCAUAUGUGAUACUAUCUAGGAGUAACUAAUCUGAGGAGCAGUUCAAGCAAUGAUAUAUGGUUUUUUUUUUUUUUAAAUAAUCUAAUUUAUCACUUAGUUCAUGAUUGAUUGAGCUUAAAAUUAUAGGGCACUGUAAAACUAACUAGCUCUUGAUGAUGAGGCUGUCUUUAUUUCUUUUCUGUUCGAAAUGUUUGCCCUUUCAAGUGUAGGUUGGCUUGUUUGUAGUUUUAGGUACCAUUAAAAGGCACUAGCUAUUGCAGCACACAGCGAAUUUGUGCAAAUAAAGGAGUUGCUUUUAAAUAAUAUGUUAACGGAAAUUGUUAAUAAUGGUAAAUUAUUAUAAUAUUCAAGUUUCAUGAAUAAAGUACGUAUAAACAUGUAACCUGGGCUCUAUCAUUUCCUUCUUUUCCUGAUACAUACAACCUGAUCUGUGAUUGUGAAUCUCCUUAAAAAUCAUGAAUUUGACGCCAUUAGGUACCAGAAUUUUAUUUUAUUUCUGCAUGAAGAAAGACCCUGCAACACUAAGUAAAGCUAAACUCUUGCCUGACACCUGAAUUUUUACUACUCUGAGCAAGACAGAGAAAUCAGUCCUCUGUUUGGUGGUCUCGACAUUCCAUUCUCUUGAGUCUGCAAGUAGAAUUUUUUGCUUCUUUUUGUUUCUAAUAUAAUUUGAGGGUGGGGUGGGGGUAUCAAACUUCAUCUUCUCAUACUCCUUGCACCUGAAUGUUUUUAUCAAACUUCAUUUUCUAUCUUAAAGCUAAAAAUGGAUGCUGAUGAAUGUUUUCACUCUUUCAUUGUGUAGUUAUUUGGUGCUCCCAAGAUCUACAAGAAGAUUAAUGAAUCCGUUUACAGCUAUUUUAAGGAAACUCCAGAUGAUCAGUGGAUCAGAACAACUGAUUUUACUCCAUCAUGUAUUGGACAAUCUUCCGGCUUAUGUUUGCAGAUCUCGUAUGGCAUUAAGCUUCCAAAUUUCCCAGAUGAUUUUGCUCACUACGAGGAAAGUGAAAGCCAAUUCAGUUUGAAGACUGGUUCUCCCUUUUGUGACAAUUCAUCCCUAGUUCCCAUUCUGUGUCCUCCUGAUGGCAUUAAAUUGCCAUGUAAUGUAUUGUUUAAGAUUUGCAGUUUGGUACAACAUGGAUGUCUCCCAGGGCCGAACCUAGAUUCCAAUUUUUUUAGGUUGGUUGAUCCACAGAGAAUAGACAUUAGGUUUAUAGAUUUUGCUCUAGAGAAACUUUACAAUUUAAAGGAAUGCUGCUAUGAUCCUGUGAGCUGGCUCGAGGAGCACUAUGACAAAUACCGCAAGAUGGGAUGGCUACCAAAAUCACCAGCUAUUAAUUUAGGUGAUGGACUGGUAUAUGUACGCAAGGUUCAAGUAACUCCAAGCAAAGUGUAUUUCUCCGGUCCAGAAGUGAGUAUGUCAAACCGUGUGUUACGGCAUUAUCACAAAGACAUUGAUAAUUUUCUUCGUGUUUCUUUUGUGGAUGAAGAUUGGGAUAAAAUGUAUUCUACUGAACUAUCCCCCAAGGUAGUUUCUGGGAAUGAGGAUGGAAGAACAGAGAUUUAUGAAAGGAUAUUGUCAACACUUAGAAAUGGCAUUGUUAUUGGCGACAAGAAAUUUGAUUUUCUUGCAUUUUCCUCAAGUCAGUUGAAGGAUAAUUCUGCUUGGAUGUUUGCUUCAACAGCUACAGAUAAUGCUGAUGGUAUCCGUAAGUGGAUGGGUGAUUUUUGUUCCAUUAGAAAUGUAGCAAAAUAUGCUGCCAGACUUGGUCAAUCUUUUGGAUCCUCUAUAGAAACUUUAAGUAUUGAUGAGGAUGAGAUUGAAUUUAUUCCCGAUAUAGAGGCACUAACAGGGGGAACCUUUUCUGAUGGAAUUGGGAAGAUAUCUGCUGAGUUUGCUCGGAGUGUUGCCAUAAAAUGUGGACUUAAAAAUUCUUCUCCUUCAGCCUUUCAGAUCAGGUAUGGUGGCUACAAAGGUGUUGUGGCUGUUGAUCCCUCUUCACGAAGGAAGUUGUCAUUGAGAUCGAGCAUGUUGAAGUAUCAGUCAGACAAUACAAAAUUAGAUGUUUUGGCAUGGAGUAAAUAUCAACCUUGUUUUCUGAAUCGACAGAUUAUCUCUCUUUUAUCUACUCUUGGAGUCGAGGAUCAUGUCUUUGAGAAGAAACAAAAAGAAGCGGUAGCUCAGCUGGAUACUAUUUUAGUUGAUCCAUUGAGGGCAGAGGAGGCGUUGGAUUUGAUGUCUCCAGGAGAAAAUACGAACAUUCUGAAGGAAAUGCUGAAGUGUGGUUAUCUGCCUGACGGUGAACCAUUUCUCUCUAUGAUGCUACAAACUUUUCGCGCAUCAAAAUUGCUAGAUUUGAGGGUUAAAUCCAGAAUAUUUAUUCCACAAGCUAGACAAAUGAUGGGAUGCCUGGAUGAAACCGGAAGUUUAGAAUAUGGCCAGGUGUUUGUUCAGUUUUCUGGUGCUGGUCGUCGACGAUUCUGUGUGGAUUUCCUUAAAAUUUAUGACAAUACAUCAGAUGACUAUAAUUACAUUGUUAAGGGAAUGGUUGUUGUUGCUAAAAACCCGUGCUUGCACCCUGGUGAUGUCCGUAGGUUAGAGGCUGUUGAUGUGCCAGCAUUAUACCACAUGGUGGACUGUGUGGUUUUCCCUCAGAAAGGACAAAGGUAAAACUGACUUCUUGAAUGCUUCUAAAGUAAUCUUAUCUGCAAAAACUUAAUGGGACUAUUGCAUUCAGGUAAUUAUUGUUUGUGUCAACAGUGCAACAGUGGGUCGAGAAUUACUCUAAAUCUGUAGAACAAACAUGAAGCAGUGCCCCAAUGUGGAUUUUUUAUGACUUGAAAAUUGUGCUAUUCAAAAAAUGGCCUUUUUAGAAUAAACAAAAAUAGCAUAUUUUAUUUAAAAAUUUUAAUCAUGUUCUAUAAGGUUUCGGUUGUUCUAAUAACAGACCUCACCCAAAUGAAUGUUCCGGGAGUGAUUUGGAUGGAGACAUUUACUUCGUUUGUUGGGACCCUGACUUGAUUCCACCAGAGCAAUGCUCGCCUAUGGAUUAUACGCCAGCUCCAAGCACAAAGCAAGAUCAUGAUGUGACAGUUGAGGUACUGUGGCUUAGAACUUGCAUUUGAAACCAUGAUGUUUUCCACUUUUGUUAUUUAUAAUUUAUAAUGGCCAAAAGAUGAGGAUCCUUCUUAAAGAGACAAAAAAUGUCAUCAGAUUAUUGUCAAGGUUACUUAUUAUUAACAUGGUAUCUACAGAAAUCAUAUGCUAUAUCCACUUUUGUUGUUAUGUUCUUGGCGUGAACUUUCUAUCGUGGUUUUCUUUAUGUUGGUCUCCUCCUAGUUUUGGGAAUUAUUGCUAAAAGACCAUACUUCCUUGAGUUCCACCUUUUACUUUCUAGGUUCUCUGUCUCCCAUCUCAUUUCUUAACUGAGAAUUUGAUUAUAGAUUAUAAACAUCCUUUAAUACCUAUCAUGGUGUAAAAGAAUUAACCCUUCCCAUAUCCCAAGAACAUGGAACUUAAAUUUGUAGUAGUGUGAUUUGAUCAUAUUUUGUGUAAGUUAUUUGUUAUUAAUAAAUACGUAUAGCGAGACAAUUAAAAGUAGGAAAAUUAUUUGUUAUUUAGCAGAUGAUGGCAUCUAUGAAGCAUGAACCCGGUUUGAUUUAACAGAUUUAUAUAGUUUCUAUUAUUUGAUUAGUGUUAUUCUUCCAUUUCGAUGAAACUCGUGAAGUCUUGAAACCUAUACAACCGCAUGUUCAAGUCAAGAAGCUAUAUCAUAAAAUGAGUUAAGUUGAAGUUAGCAGUUAAGAUUUCUUAUAUUGGAAUGAAUGAACAUUCUUAUAGCUUUCACAUGAUUUGAGUCGGCAUUGCACUCCUCUUUGUGAUCUCAUACACGUUUACAUGUCAUGUUAUUGCAGAUUUACAUGUGCAAGGCUUUGCAAUCUGAAUAUCAUUGUGAUUUCAACAGAAGUUAGUAUUUAUUUUAUACUUUUCCUUUGAUACAGGAAGUUGAGGAGUACUUCACCAACUAUAUUGUGAACGAUAGUUUAGGUAUCAUUGCAAAUGCACACACCGUCUUUGCUGAUAAAGAACCAAGCAAGGCAUUGAGUGAGCCUUGUAUAGAGUUGUCAAAACUGUUCUCCAUUGCUGUCGACUUCUCAAAAACUGGUGUUCCUGCAGUAAUACCACCUCAUUUACGUGUGAAAAAAUAUCCAGAUUUCAUGGAAAAGCCCGACAAGAAAACCUAUGAAUCGAAAAGUGUGAUCGGAAAGCUUUUUAGAGACGUGAUAAGCAUUGCCCCCGACACGGCUCCUAUUCAAUCCUUUACCGACAAAGUGGCUAGGAAGUCAUAUGAUCCCGACAUGGAAGUGGAUGGGUUUGAAGAUUACAUUGACGAAGCAUUUCAUUACAAAACUGAGUACGAUUACAAGUUGGGUAAUCUGAUGGAUUAUUAUGGCAUAAAAACAGAGGCUGAAAUACUGAGUGGUGGUAUUAUGAAGACGUCAAAGAGUUUUGAUCGAAGACGAGAUGCAGACACCAUUGGUGCAGCUGUGAGGUCAUUGAGGAGCGAAGCUAGGAAAAUGUUCAAGAAAGGAAGCGAAUCAGAUGAUGUGUAUGCAAAAGCAUCAGCUUGGUAUCACGUCACUUAUCAUCAUGACUAUUGGGAUUGCUACAAUGAGGGACUGAAUCGGGAUCAUUAUAUCAGUUUCCCAUGGUGCGUAUACGACAAGCUAGUCCAGAUCAAGAAGGACAAGUCCAACCUUAGAAGGUCUCUGCAAAUUUCUUCACUUGAAAGGAAAUUCAAGUUUGGUAUGGGUUUCACCUGAGAAAUCAUCAUUUCUAGCCAGUUGUUAUAUGCCUCGAGUGUUUAAUAUAUAAACUGUAAACUGAUUACAAAGACUUCUGUUUGUGUCUAACUGCAGCUAGUACAGCUGCAAAAAACGAGCCAAACGUGCUUGGUAUGAACUUGUGUUUUGUGUAAAAAUUUAAGUAUGCUUGUACCCAAUAUUUUAUCCUAGUUUCAUAAUGAAAUGAUUCUAAACCAAAU
This 22226-nucleotide long non-coding RNA is filed under the name Olea europaea subsp. europaea. The record is from RNAcentral. Lineage: Eukaryota; Viridiplantae; Streptophyta; Magnoliopsida; Lamiales; Oleaceae.